GUAUUGAUUGCGUGUGACCGCAAAAAUAACAUUCUACACUGUAUCAAGUUUUGUGUGAAAACGUGAGCCCUCCUGCAAAGGGGACCCACGCGGUGAUGCACAAAGGGGUAAAAUGGAUGUGCGAGGGCACUCGGGCGUGCACAACCUUUUUUUGGAAGGCCAGCGACAGCCCUUGUACCUUCGUUGUAUGAUAAUGAUCCUUCCGCAGGUUCACCUACGGAAA
Molecule: unclassified non-coding RNA, 223 nt
Filed under: uncultured fungus
Lineage: Eukaryota; Fungi
Description: sequence contains ITS1
Source: RNAcentral